Long non-coding RNA from Panicum virgatum (switchgrass), 643 nucleotides. RefSeq lists it as uncharacterized. The record is from RefSeq and is a predicted model, not a curated record. NCBI's taxonomy places the organism in Eukaryota, Viridiplantae, Streptophyta, Magnoliopsida, Poales, Poaceae. The transcript has 2 exons.
UUCUACACUAAUGCUGCCUCACGCACCUUGCUUUCAUGAGCACUGAAGAUGGACAUUGAAUCGAUGAGGUGUGCUUGCUGUGGCCUGAAAGAGGACUGCACCCAGGAAUACAUAGAUAAUGUCAAGGGCAACUUUGGAGGGAAAUGGCUCUGUGGCUUAUGCUCAGAGGCUGUAAGGGAUGGACUCGGUAAAGACAGCAGCAGCCAGGAUGGAAUUGAAGAGGCAAUCAAGGCUCAUAUGGAAUUCUGCAGGAUUUCGCUGUCAAGCCCAGCGGUCCGGGUAGCUGAUGGCAUGAAGGAGAUGCUCAGGAGGUCAGGGGGCAAGAUGAGGCCAGCAACACUGUCAAAGGCACGCCCAGUGUAGCAAGGUAGGUAAGAAGCUUCACAAUUGAGGACUGUCAAUGAAGAUGUUUUUAGUCGCCUUAAGGCUGGAGCUGGAGGCUGGAGCUGGAAUGGUGUGAGAGAAAAAUACUGUUGGGCUGGCUGGAGCUGGAGCUGGUGGUUGGAGUGGUGUGAGAGGAAAAUACUGUUGGGCUGGAGCAGGGGCUGGCUGCCGAACACAGUGAAAAUGAAUCCAGUCACUGCUCAGGAGCCAUUGUUUAUUAAACAAUUAUGGAGGUAAGACCUGAUUGCAAAGUGCUUUA